This is a long non-coding RNA of Solea solea (common sole), 1404 nucleotides long. RefSeq lists it as uncharacterized. The record is from RefSeq and is a predicted model, not a curated record. NCBI's taxonomy places the organism in Eukaryota, Metazoa, Chordata, Actinopteri, Pleuronectiformes, Soleidae. The transcript has 2 exons.
UAGAAAGUUCUACACACAGUAUAUCUCUGUUGGGCAACCUUUUCCAACUAGAAACUGAAGUUUGUAAACUCCUCACUCUCCUGCACCAAAGUCCAUCGAUACAAUCUGCAAUUCUAACUCACAGGGUUCCAUGGACUGCAGGUCUACUGCUGCUUUCUUUGCAACAACCUCAUUACUACACUCAUCAUAACUGUGACAUGGAUGGAACAUGAAGCGCAUGUGUUACGUCGUACAGCUCACACAUGGCAACUCCCUGUUUGAUUCAGUGUCUCUGACACAAAGAAGAGACUUCAGCUCUUUGUAUUUUUCCACCUCUGCUCUGGGACAUCAGUGUUUCUGAGCAGUCUACCGUGCCAUCACAAGGUGCUGGCUACAGGCUGCGGGUGGAAAAUACAGCACUGCACUUUCAGACACUUCAUGAAACAGGAUACUCACUGGAGUCUAUUUUUGGUGAGUAAUAAAACCAGCAAAAGGAGAUACACACACACACACACACACACACACAAACACUACAGAGUUAGCACCUGGACACCGAGACACAUUAACAAACAGUUCAUACCAUGAGCAACAGACACGGACUCAUUAAUAUGAACAAAUGUGUAAUAACACACAUAAUCAUGGUUUCUAGCUGGGAAAGCUAAAGGUGCAUUUUUAGACACUGUUUUAGAUUUUAUCUGGACUAUUUCUAUUUCACCUCAUGAGUAAAAUAAUUCAGCAAUCCAUUCUGGCUACUCGACCUGACUUCAUGCUGAGAUAAACUUUGUCGGAGAGGCUUUUCCAUAAUAUCCUUUUACCAUCAGUGAUUUUAAUGGAGGUUAAUUGCAUUUGCACAUAUUUUCCACUAUAACUCUAUAAGUGCAAGAUAAGAUUAGAUAUACUUUGACCCCAAGGAGAAACUUGACCUGAGCAGCGAGAGAGCAGAAUGACAUCAUUAUAACUCAGGAGACCUGCAGUGUGGUGUACACUGUGUUAGACCCGGCGUUUAAGUGAUACCUGGGGUGUUUUUGAAGUGUUGUUGUUGUUUGAAGGGACAGACGCACAGUCAGCGCUGCCGUCAUCAGGAAUCAGCCUGAGACAUGGACGCUUGUCAUCAGUGACGACAUGGCUGCCAGUGGAAACAUGAGGAGAAAUAGUCUUUAGCCUCUCAAAUAAAAACUCACCAAAUUAAUUCAAAGACUGCUUGUUCCAUUUAAGGGUCUGGAUCCCCAGUAAUGUGGCAGUAAUGUGAGGAUAUGGAGGAUUUUGCACGUGUGGAUGUAUAUAAGUUUUUGACCGUGCGUUUGUGCAUAUAAAACUGAAUAAGGAAGCAAGCAAGGGUCGUAAUUUGGACUGCAAUAUUCUGGUACUGGACCAGACCUUUGUUUUCUUGGUUUUUGUCUUCAAAUAAAUCGACGUAAACGUUUA